RNAcentral lists this long non-coding RNA (465 nucleotides) under Diuraphis noxia (Russian wheat aphid). Its description in RNAcentral is "uncharacterized LOC107162297, transcript variant X1". The record is from RNAcentral. Lineage: Eukaryota; Metazoa; Arthropoda; Insecta; Hemiptera; Aphididae.
CCGAUACUGUUACUUCGUCAACUGUUACUCUUGAAGACGCAGUCUUAAUACGUUACAUCAGUUUUUUCCGAUUUUGGAGUAACAACGUUNUAGAGAAACCUACAUUCUAGCUGGAAAGACAAACAUCCUUUAAACAUCAUAUAUGAAAGUUAUUUAUAAUAAUUGAUUAGUCGGUCAAAUUCUUUAACACUUUGGUCAAAAUCAUGAAAUUGUAUUUAUUAUUGGUCAUGGCAGUUCUUGUGGGAUUAGCGGCAUCAAAAUGUAAAACAUAUGAUUUCCACUCUUACCAUGUCUGUCUCGAGCAAUGCAAUUUUCCAACAAAGAUUUUAGCGUAAAACCCGCUCGAGUAGACAUACGUAUUACACACUGGUUGGAAGGAUAGACAUCCUUUACAGCGUUAUUUAUAGCAAUAUAUUCAUUGUUAUACGCCGAACAACUCGAAUUAUUACUUGUGUAGAUCAAAUU